Non-coding RNA from Aegilops tauschii, 110 nucleotides. The record is from Rfam. Lineage: Eukaryota; Viridiplantae; Streptophyta; Magnoliopsida; Poales; Poaceae.
ACCGGCGUUUGACCCUGAGGCACUCAUACCGCCGGCUGGUUUAGAAUGCUAGCCCGUAUGAGUGCCUUUAGAAUGCUAGCGGUACGAGUGUCUCAGGGCCAAACUCCGAU